This 518-nucleotide ribosomal RNA is filed under the name Bacillus sp. M4-C20. Its description in RNAcentral is "bacterial SSU rRNA". It matches the Rfam family "Bacterial small subunit ribosomal RNA", at positions 1 to 493 of the family's 1533-position model. The record is from RNAcentral. Lineage: Bacteria; Bacillati; Bacillota; Bacilli; Caryophanales; Bacillaceae.
UGAGCUUGAAUCCUGGCUCAGGACGAACGCUGGCGGCGUGCCUAAUACAUGCAAGUCGAGCGCAGGAAGCCGGCGGAUCCCUUCGGGGUGAAGCCGGUGGAAUGAGCGGCGGACGGGUGAGUAACACGUGGGCAACCUACCUUGUAGACUGGGAUAACUCCGGGAAACCGGGGCUAAUACCGGAUGAUCAUUUGGAUCGCAUGAUCCGAAUGUAAAAGUGGGGAUUUAUCCUCACACUGCAAGAUGGGCCCGCGGCGCAUUAGCUAGUUGGUAAGGUAAUGGCUUACCAAGGCGACGAUGCGUAGCCGACCUGAGAGGGUGAUCGGCCACACUGGAACUGAGACACGGUCCAGACUCCUACGGGAGGCAGCAGUAGGGAAUCAUCCGCAAUGGGCGAAAGCCUGACGGUGCAACGCCGCGUGAACGAUGAAGGUUUUCGGAUCGUAAAGUUCUGUUAUGAGGGAAGAACAAGUGCCGUUCGAAUAGGUCGGCACCUUGACGGUACCUCACGAAAGCCG